This 30-nucleotide non-coding RNA is filed under the name Mus musculus (house mouse). The record is from RNAcentral. Lineage: Eukaryota; Metazoa; Chordata; Mammalia; Rodentia; Muridae.
UAGGAAGCAAGCUGCCACAGAGCAGUUGUC